GCCAGUGUGAUGUACUGGUUUAGAUGUUGGACUAGGACUCUGGAGACUAGGGUUCAAAUCCCCACUCAGCCA
Molecule: non-coding RNA, 72 nt
Organism: Phrynosoma platyrhinos (Desert horned lizard)
Lineage: Eukaryota; Metazoa; Chordata; Lepidosauria; Squamata; Phrynosomatidae
Source: the annotation of a GenBank genome assembly